RNAcentral lists this ribosomal RNA (1438 nucleotides) under uncultured organism. RNAcentral's name for it is "16S ribosomal RNA". It matches the Rfam family "Bacterial small subunit ribosomal RNA". The record is from RNAcentral.
GCUUAACACAUGCAAGUCGAGGGGCAGCAUGGUCUUAGCUUGCUAAGGCCGAUGGCGACCGGCGCACGGGUGAGUAACACGUAUCCAACCUGCCGUCUACUCUUGGACAGCCUUCUGAAAGGAAGAUUAAUACAAGAUGGCAUCAUGAGUCCGCAUGUUCACAUGAUUAAAGGUAUUCCGGUAGACGAUGGGGAUGCGUUCCAUUAGAUAGUAGGCGGGGUAACGGCCCACCUAGUCUUCGAUGGAUAGGGGUUCUGAGAGGAAGGUCCCCCACAUUGGAACUGAGACACGGUCCAAACUCCUACGGGAGGCAGCAGUGAGGAAUAUUGGUCAAUGGGCGAGAGCCUGAACCAGCCAAGUAGCGUGAAGGAUGACUGCCCUAUGGGUUGUAAACUUCUUUUAUAAAGGAAUAAAGUCGGGUAUGCAUACCCGUUUGCAUGUACUUUAUGAAUAAGGAUCGGCUAACUCCGUGCCAGCAGCCGCGGUAAUACGGAGGAUCCGAGCGUUAUCCGGAUUUAUUGGGUUUAAAGGGAGCGUAGAUGGAUGUUUAAGUCAGUUGUGAAAGUUUGCGGCUCAACCGUAAAAUUGCAGUUGAUACUGGAUAUCUUGAGUGCAGUUGAGGCAGGCGGAAUUCGUGGUGUAGCGGUGAAAUGCUUAGAUAUCACGAAGAACUCCGAUUGCGAAGGCAGCCUGCUAAGCUGCAACUGACAUUGAGGCUCGAAAGUGUGGGUAUCAAACAGGAUUAGAUACCCCUGGUAGUCCACACGGUAAACGAUGAAUACUCGCUGUUUGCGAUAUACAGCAAGCGGCCAAGCGAAAGCGUUAAGUAUUCCACCUGGGGAGUACGCCGGCAACGGUGAAACUCAAAGGAAUUGACGGGGGCCCGCACAAGCGGAGGAACAUGUGGUUUAAUUCGAUGAUACGCGAGGAACCUUACCCGGGCUUAAAUUGCAGAUGAAUUACGGUGAAAGCCGUAAGCCGCAAGGCAUCUGUGAAGGUGCUGCAUGGUUGUCGUCAGCUCGUGCCGUGAGGUGUCGGCUUAAGUGCCAUAACGAGCGCAACCCUUGUUGUCAGUUACUAACAGGUUCCGCUGAGGACUCUGACAAGACUGCCAUCGUAAGAUGUGAGGAAGGUGGGGAUGACGUCAAAUCAGCACGGCCCUUACGUCCGGGGCUACACACGUGUUACAAUGGGGGGUACAGAGGGCCGCUACCACGCGAGUGGAUGCCAAUCCCCAAAACCUCUCUCAGUUCGGACUGGAGUCUGCAACCCGACUCCACGAAGCUGGAUUCGCUAGUAAUCGCGCAUCAGCCACGGCGCGGUGAAUACGUUCCCGGGCCUUGUACACACCGCCCGUCAAGCUAUGGGAGCCGGGGGUACCUGAAGUGCGUAACCGCGAGGAGCGCCCUAGGGUAAAACUGGUGACUGGGGCUAAGUC